This is a non-coding RNA of Peromyscus maniculatus bairdii (prairie deer mouse), 764 nucleotides long. Lineage: Eukaryota; Metazoa; Chordata; Mammalia; Rodentia; Cricetidae. The record is from RefSeq and is a predicted model, not a curated record.
AUGAGCAGAAGGCAGGAGGGGACGUCCUGCUGGGUGAUUGGGGUGCCAGGGUAUGUUGGGGGGGGGAGGAGGAGGAUGGUGUUGGGAGACGUCCUGCUGGGUGAUUGGGGUGCCAGGGUGUGUUGGAGGGGGGAGCAUGGUGUUGGGAGAUGAAUAGAGUGGGCGACCUUUUUGUCACACUGGGGAAUGAGGAAGUGAGGACUGAGGGGUUGGAACUCGGCGGGGUGGCCACUCCGAAGCGCUGCUGUGAGAGUGGGCUGAGAAUCAACUGUGAUCCCAUGAAGGAACACCCGGAGGCCUGGAAGCCGGGGAAGAGAAUCCUCCGCGUAGAAGAUGCCACAGGGGGAGGAUGUACUGUAUGUAUGUCUUCUGGGGAGCCAAGAGAAAAGGAGAGAGAGCGAGGUUGGGGAACACCCAGGAUGGCAAGGCUGUGAGGUCCUGUGUCCUUGGAGCCACAAAUUUGCUGACUACGAGUCCUGAGCUCAAGAAGGCCUUCACAGAUCCUUAUUGUGCCUGUGGUGUGAGCCGUGUGAGCCCAGUGAGUGCCGGGCUAGCUGCAAUGCCAACAGUUCAGUCUCCUAGGCUGCAGUGGGGUGGACCCUGAACCAGCCGAGCAGGGCCAGCUGCAGCGGGCAGAGGAGAGGCCCUGUCUCAGCUCAGUUGGAUGAACCUUAGCAGGCCGGAUGACAGUACUGGAGCCCUGGAACCACCCUGGCUGGCCCACUCUGUGAACGUGGUUUGGACUCCCAUUUGCUGUUUGAAUA